RNAcentral lists this unclassified non-coding RNA (1287 nucleotides) under Amphimedon queenslandica. RNAcentral describes it as "rRNA methyltransferase 1, mitochondrial-like, transcript variant X7". Lineage: Eukaryota; Metazoa; Porifera; Demospongiae; Haplosclerida; Niphatidae. The record is from RNAcentral.
CUAGCUUAGUUGAAUAAAAUACCUUAUUAGACUUCGUACUGUCCAUUUUUCUGCUUCAGUAAUUCCGUUUGUGUCUCUUCUUUUCUGUAUGUGUCAUAAUAAGGGCUAUUUUAUAACCCUUAUUAUGACUAAAGGGUUAUUUUAUAAGAGAUUCCCAAAAUUGUCCUAAACUUAUGAUUUUGUUAUUGAUUACAUGUACAAGUCAGUAUUGUGCUAAGCAAGCUCUAACUACAUGUACCUUAAUGUCAAAGAUCAAUUACUUUUUAUUUUUUAUAUAUAGCAGGGUUUUAUACAGUAGAAAGGGGCCCCUGUACUUUAAGUUCCCCCAUUUAAUAAAAGGGUUUAUAUUUGUCUUAAUUCACUGUUGUUUACCAAUUGGAACUAGCAAAGCAAUUGUGUGCAUAACAGCCAGCUUAUGCCUGUACUAGUAAAAUAAGCUUUUGCCGCUAUCUCAAAAUAAAUUGCUUAACAACAUGCAAUGUUAUUGUUAAUUUUCAUCAUGUCCCCUAUAAAGAUAUCCGACAUAAAUCCCUGCAAAAUGGGACCAUUAUAAAAAUUGAAUAUGCAAACAUCUGUGGUAUUUAUGCACUGAGUCUGAAGUUAUAAAACCAUUUAAUAUUAUUGCAGUGAGAAGCGUUAUUUAAAUGAUAAAAUUAUAUUCAUCAUGGUUGAUACUAAGCUUUUGCAGGGAAUCCUUAUGGAUGUUGAGCCACUAAGAUUCAAGCCUAUGACUUUGGAAUCAAACUUACUUAAUCACAAGCAAUUUUCCAAGGCUCACUUAUUGUGGCUACUUUUGUAUCAUGUACAGGAUCCUAUGAAUUUUGGUGCUAUCAUACGUAGUGCAUAUUUUUUUGGGGUUGAUCGAAUUCUAGUUACUAACAAAAGUAGUUGCCCUUUGUCUCCAGUUGUGAGCAAAUCUAGUGCAGGAGCAAUGGAAAUGCUCUCCAUUCAUUCAAUUUCAGAUGUUAUUUCUUUACUGAAGGUUGCAGCUGAUAAAGGCUGGGAUAUUCUAGGUACAGUCAGUCCAAAUAAAUUUGAACAUUUCUCUGUAAUAUCAGCAUCAGAUCACAAAGUCAUUAGACCAACUAUGUUGAUAGUAGCACUGCAAGUAUUAGGAGUCACUUGACGUGGAGAAGUAGAAUUGACAGUUUUUAGUCUGUGGGUCCAUUGUAGGUAUACCUCCACAAUCGUGGUAUGACAAAAUUUUACGUUUAAGGAAAUGAAGGUCAUGGUUUAACUAAAGAAGUUUGCUCGUGUUGUACAAAACUACUAACCAUUAAUCCCAAA